This 73-nucleotide transfer RNA is filed under the name Camelus bactrianus (Bactrian camel). It matches the Rfam family "tRNA". Rfam says of the family: Transfer RNA (tRNA) molecules are approximately 80 nucleotides in length. Their secondary structure includes four short double-helical elements and three loops (D, anti-codon, and T loops). The record is from Rfam by way of RNAcentral. RNAcentral also lists the same sequence under 3 other names. Lineage: Eukaryota; Metazoa; Chordata; Mammalia; Artiodactyla; Camelidae.
GAGGGUAUAGCUCAAAGGGCAGAGCGCAUGCUUAGCAUGCACGAGGUUCUGGGUUCAGUCCCCAAUACACUCU